GCAAAACAACCACCCUGAAUGCACCAAUCUCAUCUGACCUGGCAAGCUAAGCAGAGUUGGGCCUGCUUAGGUCUUGGAUGGGGGACCCGCUUUGAUAAUGUAGAUAUUAAAGCA
This is a ribosomal RNA of Bison bison bison, 114 nucleotides long. Lineage: Eukaryota; Metazoa; Chordata; Mammalia; Artiodactyla; Bovidae. The record is from Ensembl.